GAUCUAUGCCUUGAUAGGUCUUCAGUUACUCAUGGUGAAACAUGUUAGAUAUUAGGUCCCAUAAGAGCAUGUGGCCAAGAUGGCCAGCUCCACCAAAGAUUCAUACUUCCCCUUCCAUAGUAUGGAGUUGUGCUGGGAAGCAGUUUUCCCACCAGGGACAACAUCUUCUAGUCCUUUUACAUCUAAGUAGUACCAUGAGACUGGAUCAUGCCAAAGAAAUGUUUUGGAAGUGAGAUGUUUCACUUUGGAACCAAGGAACUGAAAAAACAGAUAGAGGGAGCCCAAGCCAAGAAGAGAGGUCUGGUAUCAAAGAUUUGCUGAAUUCACAAUUGAAGAGGCUUAUGUCAGUCCCUUAGAAAGAAUUUGAGGACUCCUCGGAAAAUUGCUGAGUUGAGUAAAUAUUUCCUUCCAUAAAGGUAAAUAAGCAUCUCAAGAGCAAGUUUCUACAUUUUGUAUUUCCCUGUUUUAUUUCUGUAAAAUUGUGCAACCAAGAAUUAUGACCUACUGAUAUUAGAAUAAAAUUUGCAGAAGUUUGA
This 536-nucleotide long non-coding RNA is filed under the name Homo sapiens (human). Its description in RNAcentral is "HSALNT0303120". The record is from RNAcentral. Lineage: Eukaryota; Metazoa; Chordata; Mammalia; Primates; Hominidae.